ACACGGACCAAGGAGUGCAACAUGCGUGCGAGUCUUUGGGUGGCAAACCCGAUGGCGCAAUGAAGGUGAAGGCGGGCGUUUGGUCCGCUUAGGCAAGAGCCUCCCUCGUGGGGGCACACUGUCGACCGAUCCCAGGCUACGCUGUGGUGGGAUUUGAGUAAGAGCGUGCCUGUUGCGACCCGAAAGAUGGUGAACUAUGCCUGAAUAGGGUGAAGCCAGAGGAAACUCUGGUGGAAGCUCGUAGCGAUUCUGACGUGCAAAUCGAUCGUCAAAUUUGGGUAUAGGGGCGAAAGACUAAUCGAACCAUCUAGUAGCUGGUUCCCUCCGAAGUUUCCCUUAGGAUAGCUGGAGCCCGGUGCAGUUUUAUCAGGUAAAGCGAAUGAUUAGAGGUCUUGGGGUUGAAACAACCUCAACCUAUUCUCAAACUUUAAAUGGGUAAGAAGCUCGGCUUGCUUAAUUGAAGUCGGGCAUUGAAUGCCGGGGCUCUUAGUGGGCCAUUUUUGGUAAGCAGAACUGGCGAUGUGGGAUGAACCAAAUGCCGGGUUAAGGUGCCCGAAUCGACGCUCAUCAGAUACCAUGAAAGGUGUUGGUUGAUCUAGACAGCAGGACGGUGGCCAUGGAAGUCGGAAUCCGCUAAGGAGUGUGUAACAACU
Molecule: ribosomal RNA, 653 nt
Filed under: Timea unistellata
Lineage: Eukaryota; Metazoa; Porifera; Demospongiae; Tethyida; Timeidae
Description: eukaryotic LSU rRNA
Rfam family: Eukaryotic large subunit ribosomal RNA
Source: RNAcentral